GAUUAAUGCUGGCGAGAUGCAUAACACAUGCAAGUCGAGCGAGAAAUUUCCUUCGGGAAAUGGACAGCGGCGGACGGCUGAGUAACACGUUGGAACACCCCCUCGAUUCAGGGAUAACCCAGAGAAAUCUGGACUAAUACCGGAUACCCCAGCAAUGGGAAAGCGUUUAGCGAUCGAGGAGUGGCCUGCGGCCCAUUAGUUAGUUGGUAAGGUAAUGGCUUACCAAGACGAUGAUGGGUACCUGGUGUGAGAGCAUGACCAGGCAGAGUGGGACUGAGACACGGCCCACACUCCUACGGGAGGCAGCAGUGAGGAAUUUUCCGCAAUGGACGAAAGUCUGACGGAGCAAUCUCGCGUGGAGGAUGACACCCCUCGGGGCGUAAACUCCUUUUAUGAGGGAAGAAAAUCUGACGGUACCUCAUGAAUAAGGGACGGCUAACUACG
This 444-nucleotide ribosomal RNA is filed under the name uncultured bacterium. RNAcentral's name for it is "bacterial SSU rRNA". It matches the Rfam family "Bacterial small subunit ribosomal RNA", at positions 28 to 505 of the family's 1533-position model. The record is from RNAcentral.